This 69-nucleotide transfer RNA is filed under the name Bostrichoidea sp. 7 KM-2017. RNAcentral's name for it is "tRNA-Gln". Lineage: Eukaryota; Metazoa; Arthropoda; Insecta; Coleoptera. The record is from RNAcentral.
UACAAUUUAGUAUUUGAUGUACGUUAAUUUUUGAUAUUAAAAUAAUUGGUUUAAUUCCAAUAAUUGUAA